GAUGAACGCUAGCGGCAGGCCUAACACAUGCAAGUCGAGGGGUAUAAGUCUUCGGACUUUGAGACCGGCGCACGGGUGCGUAACGCGUAUGCAAUCUACCUUGUACAGAGGGAUAGCCCAGAGAAAUUUGGAUUAAUACCUCAUAGUAUAUUUGAAUGGCAUCAUUUAAAUAUUAAAGUUCCAACGGUACAAGAUGAGCAUGCGUCCCAUUAGUUAGUUGGUGUGGUAACGGCACACCAAGACGAUGAUGGGUAGGGGUCCUGAGAGGGAGAUCCCCAACACUGGUACUGGGACACGUACCAGACUCCUACGGGAGGCAGCAGUGAGGAAUAUUGGUCAAUGGAGGCAACUCUGAACCAGCCAUGCCGCGUGCAGGAUGACGGUCCUAUGGAUUGUAAACUGCUUUUAUACGGGAAGAAAAAGAGUUACGUGUAACUUAUUGACGGUACCGUAAGAAUAAGGAUCGGCUAACUCCGUGCCAGCCGCCGCAGUAA
RNAcentral lists this ribosomal RNA (494 nucleotides) under uncultured bacterium. Its description in RNAcentral is "partial 16S ribosomal RNA". It matches the Rfam family "Bacterial small subunit ribosomal RNA", at positions 28 to 523 of the family's 1533-position model. The record is from RNAcentral.